RNAcentral lists this ribosomal RNA (339 nucleotides) under Triticum aestivum (bread wheat). RNAcentral describes it as "partial small subunit ribosomal RNA". Lineage: Eukaryota; Viridiplantae; Streptophyta; Magnoliopsida; Poales; Poaceae. The record is from RNAcentral.
AUGGACCACCUAGAUAGUUGUGCUGGUUGUGUUUUCAGGGAACGAACUAUUGAACAAGCUGAAGAACUAUCGAAUAAUAUAUUGACGAAUGAUAAUGAUUGGACUCUUCCUGAACCACCACCCGAGCCAACUCCGAAGAAGAGAGGUGUUCUAUUUCUUAGUCCCAAAGAUAUGCAAGAGGCAAAGAAAUCUAUGAAAGAAAAAGGUAUUAAAGCUGAAGACACUUGUCGUGGUAUUCUCAUGAGGGUGCAAGACGACAGAUGCCACAAGGUGGCUUCAUGUGUGGGCAAGACUGCUGCCGGAAUAUCCAUAGACGGGUAUGCGAAUAGCACGCGCUAA